RNAcentral lists this ribosomal RNA (253 nucleotides) under uncultured bacterium. RNAcentral describes it as "partial 16S ribosomal RNA". It matches the Rfam family "Bacterial small subunit ribosomal RNA", at positions 524 to 776 of the family's 1533-position model. The record is from RNAcentral.
UACGAAGGGGGCUAGCGUUGCUCGGAAUUACUGGGCGUAAAGCGCACGUAGGCGGCUUUCUAAGUCGGGGGUGAAAUCCUGGAGCUCAACUCCAGAACUGCCUUUGAUACUGGAGAGCUAGAGUCCGGAAGAGGUGAGUGGAACUGCGAGUGUAGAGGUGAAAUUCGUAGAUAUUCGCAAGAACACCAGUGGCGAAGGCGGCUCACUGGUCCGGUACUGACGCUGAGGUGCGAAAGCGUGGGGAGCAAACAGG